Molecule: ribosomal RNA, 468 nt
Filed under: uncultured bacterium
Lineage: Bacteria
Description: partial 16S ribosomal RNA
Rfam family: Bacterial small subunit ribosomal RNA
Source: RNAcentral
GAUGAACGCUGACAGAAUGCUUAACACAUGCAAGUCUACUUGAAUUUGGGUUUUUUAACUUAGAUUUGGGUGGCGGACGGGUGAGUAACGCGUAAAGAACUUGCCUCACAGCUAGGGACAACAUUUGGAAACGAAUGCUAAUACCUGAUAUUAUGAUUAUAAGGCAUCUUAGAAUUAUGAAAGCUAUAUGCGCUGUGAGAGAGCUUUGCGUCCCACUAGCUAGUUGGAGAGGUAACGGCUCACCAAGGCGAUGAUGGGUAGCCGGCCUGAGAGGGUGAACGGCCACAAGGGGACUGAGACACGGCCCUUACUCCUACGGGAGGCAGCAGUGGGGAAUAUUGGACAAUGGACCAAGAGUCUGAUCCAGCAAUUCUGUGUGCACGAUGACGUUUUUCGGAAUGUAAAGUGCUUUCAGUUGGGAAGAAAAAAAUGACGGUACCAACAGAAGAAGUGACGGCUAAAUACGUG